Molecule: long non-coding RNA, 2291 nt
Filed under: Panax ginseng (ginseng)
Lineage: Eukaryota; Viridiplantae; Streptophyta; Magnoliopsida; Apiales; Araliaceae
Description: long non-coding RNA (PGIN_LNC001628)
Source: RNAcentral
AGCACUAACAACCUCAAAAUAUUAAUAGUGGUGAUCCAUCAAUAAAGUAAUAAGUACAAUUCUCUAAACUGAGUCAAAAUAAUCAAAACUUAAAAUUUGAAUCAACCUAACUGGUCAAAGGCAAAACUCUCAUCACACUAGCUCUGAAUCACCCCUGCAAACCUGCCGGAAGAAAAACACAGCAUGAGCCAAUUGCCCAGUACGGAUACAGAUAUACAAAAGAUAUACAACUGAUAUACGAAAACAGUUGAGACAAAUUAUUGAACAAGCCUCAAGUGCAAGUACGAACGAAAAUAUAAUAUUCAAGGAUCUGAAUGGAAUAUCUAUGAAUCAACAUAAUUGCCGAAACCAAUAAAAGAAUAAAGAAAUAGCGAACUGAAGUAACUAACUCAAUGACUUGAACUGAACAAAAACCAACAAAACUAAUCCAAUAAAAUAAUAGGCUGAAACAAAUGGCUGGAGUUAUUUUAUACCGAAUGAGCUCAGAAAUACACAUUGCCACACAGGCAAGUCAAAAUAAUGCCACACAGGCAAGUCAAAUGAUGCCACACAGGCAACCAAAAUAAUGCCACACAGGCAAAUCACACAUUGGACCGCGAAUCCAAAUGUAUGCAAAUCGGAUAGGUGUGUUUGGCACAACAUCACAAAUCCGCAGAACAGAAAACUAGGGUUAACCCAUACGCCUCCCACAACAAAACACCAAAUGGCCCACUUCCUCCGGAGCCCAAAACGGAGACGCCGUGGACUAAUCACACCGCCACGGAAAGUGUCAUGCCUCUCGUGCCAAGACGACAUGCCUGUGGUACCCCCACAGGUGGUUAUAGCUCAGGUAUACCCUACGGUAUAUUCUAACAAAAAUACCAUGUCACAACACAUGCGACAUAAUACCAACAAAAGGGUUCUAUAUGUACAUGUUGAACCAAAUCAAAUUAUAGUCACAAGGUCUCAAAAAGAAGGUAGCAACAUGUACCGCUCUACAAUUAUCAAAAAUAAAUAGUACUAAACAUGAUAACCUAAUUCAAAGAGUACAAAUACGAGUCAUAUGUAUCAACUCCAAAAUGAAACUAAUAUAUUUAUUUCACAGGAAACAAUUAUGUGAAAUAAUAACGAAAUUCGAACAAGCGACAAAACGAACAAAUCAAAUUUAACAAGAGUAUCGCAGAAAGAGUACGAAAUCCGUACCUGAUACUUCCAAACCAUUUAUGGCACACUCCACAAAAUCUUACCCUCAAAUGCCAACGAUAUCAAAUACAAAUCGUUAUUCGCAACCUAAACAUAUUCACCUCAAAUUAAAAACAAUCCAAACUAAUAAUUCCAAAGUAAUUCAUAAUCUAUUUAAUAUGCCUUUAAUCAUCGCCUUUUCGUUCGAACUAACUAAACAAAAUAAUAAUAAAUAUAAGUACACUUAUAAAAAUAUUCUUUCAUCUUUAACCCAUUGAUAAAUUCAUUUUAUUAUUAUUAUAAUAAUAAUCUCUAUAAUUUCAAAAUAUUUUAUUUAUUCAUUUAGAUUUUGUAUAACAUAAUAUUUUGCAAUACUAUAUACGUAAUUAUUAAUUUUUUUUAUUUUUUUAACAAUAAACAUGAAAAUUCGUACUAUUAAGAACAUGUGAUCAGGAGACUACAAAUUAAUAUAUAUGUAUCCAUAUAAUAGGCAUGCACCUAUUGUGCACUCCUGUAAUUUCCAAAAGAAGUCUAAAUAUCCAUAAGUCUAAUAAAACAAUUACUAUUCAUGACAUAUUUUAUUCGUAAGGCGUUUUUUUUUUGUUUAAAGGCACACUGAUGCCAUUCAUUUCACAUACUACCCAGAUGCAAUCAAAUUAUUAUUAUUAUUAUUAUUAUUACACUCCAUAUAUUUUCUUUUUAAUACCAUUGUACUAACUAUGUACUUAUAUUUAUUCUACCUCUGUUUCACAAGAAAUACUCAUAAACUGAUAUCCUGAAGCAAAUUCUAAUUAAUUACAAACUUAAUCAUAAUUCCCAACUCCGUUCUAAUAUAUAAAAAAAAAAAUUCUAACAUGAUACCACAAUAUAAUAUAUAGAACAAUACUUUGAAAUUUAACUCCAUGUUCCAAACAAGCUAAUCUAAUUUAUACUUUAUUUAUUUGCUAGUUUUAAUUGAGAUUCCCUCCAGACAUGACUUAUAACAAUAAACAAUCAAAUUAAUUAAGCUUGCAAGAUCCGAUCAUAAAAUAACUAAAAAAGAAUACCCAAUAAUAAAAAUAAUGGUAUUACCUUGGUUGGGAGAAUUUUUCUCUUUCUAUUUUCUGUACUCCUAGCCGCCUUUCUCUUCA